UUGCAAUUGUCAUCUUUUUCUUCAAUCACCUUUUCCAUCUAGUAACCCAUCACAUUUCCUCUUUCAUUUCCUAGAUUGCAUUUGUCAUCCGACGAUAUAACCUCCUGAUUUCCCUUCUAGAUUAAAUCCCUAGUUUUCCAUCCUCAAACGGGAAGAAAAUUAGUUAAAUCUGAAAGUAACUCAAAACGAAAUCGAAAAAGCUUCUUGAUCUGCGGGCGAGGCCAUACUACGGCGAUAAGGAAAAGUGGCGAGAAGCUCUCUU
This 262-nucleotide long non-coding RNA is filed under the name Zostera marina. RNAcentral describes it as "long non-coding RNA (ZMAR_LNC003548)". The record is from RNAcentral. Lineage: Eukaryota; Viridiplantae; Streptophyta; Magnoliopsida; Alismatales; Zosteraceae.